This 459-nucleotide ribosomal RNA is filed under the name uncultured bacterium. RNAcentral describes it as "bacterial SSU rRNA". It matches the Rfam family "Bacterial small subunit ribosomal RNA", at positions 1036 to 1503 of the family's 1533-position model. The record is from RNAcentral.
AGGUGCUGCAUGGCUUUGUCAGCUCGUGUCGUGAGAUGUUGGUUUAGUCCCGCAACGAGCGCAACCCUUGUCAUUAGUUGCUACGAAAGGNCACUCUAAUGAGACUGCCGGUGACAAACCGGAGGAAGGUGGGGAUGACGUCAAGUCCUCAUGGCCCUUAUGGGUAGGGCUUCACACGUCAUACAAUGGUACAUACAGAGCGCCGCCAACCCGCGAGGGGGAGCUAAUCGCAGAAAGUGUAUCGUAGUCCGGAUUGUAGUCUGCAACUCGACUGCAUGAAGUUGGAGUCGCUAGUAAUCGCGGAUCAGCAUGUCGCGGUGAAUACGUUCCCGGGUCUUGUACACACCGCCCGUCACACCAUGGGAGUGGGUUUUACCAGAAGUAGGUAGCUUAACCGCAAGGAGGGCGCUUACCACGGUAGGAUUCGUGACUGGGGUGAAGUCGUAACAAGGUAGCCGU